Molecule: non-coding RNA, 1015 nt
Organism: Ciona intestinalis (vase tunicate)
Lineage: Eukaryota; Metazoa; Chordata; Ascidiacea; Phlebobranchia; Cionidae
Source: RefSeq, a predicted model, not a curated record
UAAAUCACAAUUGGCAUUAUUACGUACAUAGGCUCUUUUCUAGAAACAUCGUUGAUGUGACGUCACGAAGUGGAGAUAACGCAACGGAAGAACCCGCUUCAGGAUCAAACGACCAUGACGCGAAAACGGAAUGAAGAAAAGUCGGCAAAUAAAUCUGCCGAAGAAAAGCGUAAGACGAAGAACAAAGACGAAGACGUCGGUAUAGGAUACAGCACGGUUUGAAGUUUGAGUAUUAUAAGUAUGAGUUGCGUGUUGUAUGUGUGUCUUGUCUGCGCUGCUGUAUUCUUAUUCUGCUGGACCUAAUGUUGCCAGCUAUUUUUAGUCAGUCACUACUAUAGUGCAUUUUGCCUGUCCAUGAAAUAUAUGCAAUGAAAUUUCGGCGAACAUCUUGCUGGAUCAGAUUUGUUGUUAUACACUCUAUUGGGUACUUCGUCCACAAAGGUGGAAUCUUUUAGCGAUUCUGUAUUGUCCUGAUUGCUUGGUGAGAACGCUAUGUUGGUACACAACUACUCGAGUAAUAUUAACACGCAGUAUAAUAUGCGCAUAAAUGUCAAUCAUAUAGUAAUCUAUUUAAUAUACUGUAAAGUAAACUUCCCCACGUGACUAACUUUAUAUUACGUCAUGUAGCGUGAUUGGGACGAUGGCCACGUCACAAUUUCGCUACGACGUGGAUACGAUGGGGCAGAGCAUUGUCCCAACCCUGCGUUCGGUGCGGUUGCGUCAGUUUUGAUUGAGUUACUUAACGGUCAGGUUGUUGCGUGGACGUCGCCGCCAGUGAUGCUACGCUAGAUAUUUGGUCACUGUCAUUGCGGUUCGUAACAAUCUGGCGCAGUUUCGUAACGGUGUGCGUAACGUCCGGAUGUUAUUAUAUUUUGUGAAGAUACGACGAGAGUAUCGCGGUACCAACAUGGCGACUUACCUUUUGAUUGGGACAUGCGGAGCUGUUGUUGGCUUCGACUCAUCCUUGCUUUCGGACAUUCAAUAUGGUGUACACUGCAGAUAAAAUUAUCCUUCA